RNAcentral lists this long non-coding RNA (1545 nucleotides) under Vigna radiata. Its description in RNAcentral is "long non-coding RNA (VRAD_LNC016531)". The record is from RNAcentral. Lineage: Eukaryota; Viridiplantae; Streptophyta; Magnoliopsida; Fabales; Fabaceae.
UUUGUACUUUUCAAGAGCCAUUCAUGAGAAUAUUAUAAAUUUGGUCCACCAACAACAACUAAGGAUAAUAAGAAAAAGGUAUGUGACUACUGCUGAAAUUUGGAUUUGGAGAAUUAAACCUCCUUUUUCCUUAAAUAACCUCCAGUAUUCUGCUGACUGAUUGGAAUCAAUAGCAAUUAAUUUUAUUUUGGAUUUUCUUUUUCAUGUAUUCAUUUCUUGGGGAUAUGUAUAUAUGCUCCUUGCAGGAGGAAAUCGAAUCAGAACUCAGUCCUUCCAUGGAGAAAGGAAGAAAAGUUUUUUUUUUUCAUUUAUAUUAUUAUUGAAUAUUCUUGAGUUUGGUCAUUGUAUUUUCAACUUUUAAAGUGAAUAAUCUUCAUCAUGAUGUAUUUCCCCCUUGUUUUAUGUACUGCCUUAUGUCUCUAGAAAAAAGUAGUUGGGUACUAGUACUGAUAUAUACUAUAUAUUCUGUGGUGGUUAUAUCACUACGUUCUUUCAAGUAUAUCACAGUAGAAAGGCACAUGGCACCUCAGAAUAUACUUUGUAUCUGUAUGAAUUGAUAGGAAAUUGUGGAAACUGUCUGCUAGGCUAUCGUUUGAUAUGCAAUUUUCUUUCCCUGUCGCAUCCAGCAAAUACCUUUCAUGUGUAAGAAUUUUUUGGUUAAAAUUGGUAGAAAAAUUCAAGGUUUACUUUUACUUGGACAUGCUUUAUUAAGGAUUUGAGUGAAAGAAGACUAACUUAAGUAAGAAAAAUAUGAUGAUUAGUUUCUGAUUCUGUUUACUUGAGUUUUAGCAGCACGUGGUUCUAAGAGAAAGCCCCAAAGUUUCAAGGAUGAAGAUCACUAUAUAAGUUCAAACCAAAAAAUCAAGUAAGCUUCUAUCUGAAUUACAUAGUUCAUCAUACAAAUAUACACUAUAAUCAUGGUGGUUAUGAUUCUGAAAAAAAAAAAACAUUGCUACUAAUGUUGCUAUGAUUCUCAGCAGUAAAAGCCAUUGAGAUUGACCUUGCAAUAAAAGCCAAUGAAGACUUUGCUUCGAAAAGGCAGCAGUUCUCUUUAUUAUGCUAUUUGGGUGAUUUUAUUGUAAACCAUUUCUAAAGUAAUUGAACUGACUUGUAUAUGUGGAUGUAACAUGAAGAAAUACAAUAAGUAGUAUAGAGGUCAUAAAUUGAGUGGCCUGUGGACUUGUUAGGUUGUUAUCUUACCGUUCAUAGAGGGUAUAAUAAAGUCUUGUUGAUAUAAUUUUUCAUUGAUGUCUGUUUUAGUUUGGGUAUUUGUGAUUUAUUCUUUAGUAGCAUCCUGUUUUUUUAUCUUCCUAAGCUUUGGUAUAUUUGGAUUUAAUAUAUGGUUUGAUUUACAAAUUAUGUAUUAAAUAUUAUUACACAAUUUAAUGUUUAAAAUGGAUUUUAUUAUGUUAGUUUAAUUGAAUAUGUUCAUUACAUAUUAUAUUGAUUAUAAAUUGAUUGAUGAGAUUAUAAUACAGGAAAUUAAUUGUAAAUUGAAUGGAUAUUUCAAAUGUAAUAAUGAAUUAUUUAUUUUACUAAACAAGU